This 253-nucleotide ribosomal RNA is filed under the name uncultured bacterium. Its description in RNAcentral is "partial 16S ribosomal RNA". It matches the Rfam family "Bacterial small subunit ribosomal RNA", at positions 524 to 776 of the family's 1533-position model. The record is from RNAcentral.
GACGAACCGUGCGACCGUUAUUCGGAAUAACUGGGCUUAAAGGGCGCGUAGGCGGGCUAUCAAGUCUGGGGUGAAAUCCCACGGCUCAACCGUGGAACUGCCUUAGAUACUGACGGCCUCGAGGGAGAUAGGGGCAUGCGGAACUGUAGGUGGAGCGGUGAAAUGCGUUGAUAUCUACAGGAACUCCGGUGGCGAAAGCGGCGGGCUGGAUCUCGUCUGACGCUGAGGCGCGAAAGCUAGGGGAGCAAACAGG